RNAcentral lists this long non-coding RNA (1230 nucleotides) under Equus asinus (donkey). RNAcentral describes it as "lncRNA (ENSEASG00005025912.1)". Lineage: Eukaryota; Metazoa; Chordata; Mammalia; Perissodactyla; Equidae. The record is from RNAcentral.
CAUCCGUGAUGCAGUUCCCAGCUCAUGAGGGCCUGGAAAUAAUUGUCCCACUCUUCAACCCGUUGGGACGCAGAGGUUAAGUCUAGAGUUGGUCCUGUUGAGAUAGAGAGCCUAGAAUUCAUAAACGGCCUUCCGCAGGAAACCCCCGCGGAAGCAAAUCUGGAGAAGGAGGUGGAGGGCGAGGGACGGGCAUUAUUAGUCUCUGCUUUUGUUUUUCAAGCAUCAUUUGAUUUUCCUUUGUCUCAGGAAACUUUUUUAGGGAAAUUCCCUUCUCUUUUGUCUUCAGUUUAACCUAGAAAUGUGUUCUUAAAAACCAACAUUUUCAGAAAAUUCUUUUCUCAGUCUUGAGUGUAUGAAAAUGUAUCCAGACGACACGAGUUGUCAUUUUUCUUCAUUAUUUUCCUCUCUAUUUCAGUUUAUAGCUGUUUCCUGUCCGAUUCUGAGCUUCACGACUUCAUUUACCAUCCCCAUCCACAGGUUUGUGGUGACCUCCACCACUGUUGUUUUUUCACUUAAGAGUAUGUAAGCCAAAAUCUGGAUCGGGGGAGAUGUAACUGAUUUCUAUCGAUUUGUAACAGACUUAUGUGUGUGUUUUUAAUGAAGUGUGUAUUUAUUCAGUAUUUUCCUCAGCAUUCUGUGGGCAAAGUAAAAGUAACAGUGUAUAGUGAAAGGGCGUGUAUUCCCAGUCCACUGUGUUCACCAACAUCUUGGUUAAAUAUAAUUUACAAUCCAGAGACUAUUUCGUUUGUUUUCUUUUUGUCGUGCAGAAGAAGUGAUUAAAGCUAAACUACUCUUUGAACCACUGCUUCUGCAUUUGACUUAUUUGGUAAAACCCACUUUCUAAGGCUUUGGCGUAUUUUUCUCUUGGUUAUUUUCCUUUACUGCUUUUUAUUUUGUAGCAUGUCUCUUUAAAGAGGGAGAAAAAAACUAUUCUUCUGGAAAUACUCAUUUGUUGACACCUAAUCAAUGCGUGGUGGGCACAGUGCCUGGGACAUCUUAACAAAGAUUAAUUUCCUGCGGCCCCUGAUUCAUACAUUUUUGUUCCUUUAACAUCAAAGUUGAGAGACGUGAAUUAUCCUUUUGACACUUCUAGAAUUUAUUGUAAUCUCUUAAAUGAGCUUAACUAUUAGUUUACUAAUUGACUCAUUUUGGUGAUUUAAUUAUUUUUGCUUCUGCUUUAAAAUGUAGAACUGAACCCCUUUUUAACAAAGCAUAAAACAGAUUAUUUCU